UGAUUCGACCAUUCGACGGGUACCUGAAAUGUUUCGACGCUCUCAAUUAAAUUAAGGCGUGUCGCUAGAAUCAGAGUGUGACCAAAGCCAUAAGGACGUGGUUAAAGACGUUCAAAUAUAUUUCUGAAGGUCAAGAAGAGUCUGUGACUGCAGUUUGAUGAUUGAAGCCCAAACAAACCUGACAACCAUGUUCCUACAAUUCAUAUUAAUAAGUUGUUGCUUGGGCGUUGCUUCACCUUCACAUUGUCCCCCGGAUGAAUACAGAGCAGGAUUGGAGUGUUGCCCAUCUUGUCCGCCUGGAAUGCAUGUUGUGAAGGACUGCACAGAGAGAAUCAUUACAAAGUGCUCAAGGUGCCCCGAUGGUACUUUCCAAGCCGGCUUUAAUGAACAGAAGCGAUGCUCUAACUGUACAAAGUGUGACGCAGGUCUCGGUCUGAAGGUGAAGAAGUCGUGUUCAUCAACAUCAGAUGCUGAGUGUGAGGUCCUGGAUGGAUUCUUCUGUAGUGACUCUAACAGAGGUGGAUGUAGGACCGCUCAGAGACACACGGUUUGCAGUCCUGGUCAAUACAUCGGUCAAAGAGGAACAGCAGAUGAAGACACAAAGUGCCUUCACUGUACUGAUGGAACAUUCUCAGAUGGCACGCGGCCGUCUUGCAAGAACCACAAAAAAUGUGUUUCUGUGGGAGAGGUGCAGAUACAACUAGGAACUGAUUCAACUGAUUCUACAUGUUUUCGAAACCUUUCGAUUUUGUUAAUAAUGGGAUGCAUAUCUCUCAUUAUAUCAUUAGGCCUAGGAGGAAGGGGGCCUCACAAAAAUAGUAGCCUAGGGGCCAAUGACCACCUUAAUCCACCCCUGAUGAUGACAUGUAAUGAACCUAAUGUUCAUAUUUUACUCACAUAUUUAUUUUAUUGAAAAAGGAAACAUCGAAACAGGUGAAGGAGCGUUACGGUAAGUUCUUCUUCCACAUGUUACACUUUGUAAAUGAGUUACAGAUCAUUUAUUAAUAUCCAGUGAUGUGCAAGGGUUACUGACUCACACCUAGUCAAAUGAUAUCGCUGUGAUUCAAAACAUUUCAUCUAAUGCCGCUUUUCCACUGCAUGGUACCAGCUCGACACGACUCGACUCGACUCGACUCAGCUCGUUUCCACCGCGAAAACAUGGUAUCUGGUACCUGAAGUGGCUGCUUUUUCUAGUACCGCCUCGCUCUAGGUUCCAAGCGAGCUGAGCCGAUGCUAAAAGGUGACGUCGGCAGACGGCCGGCCACUGAUUGGCCAGAGAGUGUGACGAAGUCACGAGAGCGACAUGGCAACCAUGCUGGUAACAGCCAUAGCAGCGCCGCAGCCAACAUAUUCCACUUCUUCAACAUGCCAGCUAAUAAUAGUAAUGUUAUCGAUGUCCUCCAUUGUUGUUAUGUGGGUUCUGUCCAUGUGUGGGUUGCGUAGGUCUUGUUUGCGUCGCGUACACAAAUACGUCACGGCCCUUUCGCGCAGCCGACCCCGCCCACGUCCAGGAGGUACUAUUUGCGGUGGAAAAGGACCCGUGCUGCAACCGUGUCGAGUCGUGUCGUGUCGAGUCGAGUCGAGUCGAGCUACAUGUGCGGUGGAAAAGCGGCAUUAUUGUACCAGAGAGUCAGAGCCUACCUAGCAGAGGGACCAGAGUGGCAGACCUACUGAACAACAUCCUCUAGAUAUUAGAUUAUAGAAUGGAGCUAUCCAUGUAUAUAAGACACUACUCUCAUAGCUGGGGCGAUGUGGCCAGCAUAACGUCAGCUCAGUGGCGUUUAUAACGUAGCUCACUGAGUCGUCAUGACAACACAGAGCAGGGACAAAGGGUAGAAAGACUUCUGUCCUUGUUUGACCACGAUAAUGGCAGCCGUCUCCCUACACGUAUUCAGUCUGUCAAGAUGUUCUUCUGUGUGGAGGCUAAUCCAGAGUGGAAACCAGGAACUGGUUCAACUGAUUCUACAUGAUUAGAAUAUAUGGAGCAGUUCAUAAUGAUAGGAUGGAUAUGUUUCAUAAUAUAGUCCUUAGGAGGUAAGGGUUACAUUAAACUCUAUCAUAUAUCAUGUUCCAUUCAACUAACAUGUAUCAUGGUUACCUUAAACUAACAUGUAUCAUGGUAAUGCUGAAUGAUAGUGACUGUUGUCCUGACAUGUUACUGUAUUGUUUAUCUCUAUAUAGAAAUGAUUAAUCAACAUCUGGAGAAAAAGGAAACAACGGAACAGAAGAGGAAAGAACAUGAGGAGGUGAAGAAGUUAGUUGUGACUACACCACUAAUGUCCACUGACGGUCCUGAACCAACCAGGGACCAACAAGAAUGUACCAUAACUAUGGAGAAUCACAAUGGAGUCCAGCCCGACCCUCAAGCCCCACACAUAAUGGAUCUGUGUCAGUCUCAGUCCACCCCCCUCAGUCUUGUACCCCCCUCCCCCUCCCAGUCCACCCCCCUCAGUGUCGGUAACAAGUCACUUUAAAAACCAAAGUCCCAAGUUUCCCAGCGACCGUGUUUCACAGUUGAAGGGUAAUGACGUUGCAGGAGAAGAAGUAACCCGAGUUCUAGAAAACCUGGAUCCACCUUAAAGUGAAUCUGAUGAUUCAAACUGAGAAACUAGGGGAGGAAAUACACCAGUCUGAUUCCUUCCUGAUGCCAUCGUUCACUGGAGAAGAGGCGUGGUGUUUAUCAUCAUUAUUUGAUCAAUCCUCACAUUAUUCUUCUAUAUGUGGCUCACAGAGCAAAAACCAGCGAGGGGUUAAUAACUAGAGGUGUGAGGUGUGCUCUGUGAGGCGUCCUGGGGUAUGAUGGUAACGUCUGCUUGUGUCCACGCUCCCCCUCUCUUGGUCGACCACCGAGCCUUCUCCAGCCCCCUGAGUGUCUGUUCCUUCGUCGUCGGCCUCCUGAACGGCUCCGCCUUCCUCUCCGGGCUCCAGGGCGGACCCGGACAGCAUUCUGCUCCCCGGGUCAGCCUCCAGAGCGGCUCUGCACGUCCGUUGGUCUGAAGCACCCAGCGUCCGGGCGUCGUCCCCCUGGGACCUCCUGCUCCCUGGGGGACGCCCAGUUGGGACUUUGGGGAUGGACCUUGGCUCGCUCUCAGCGAUGGCGGCACCAGGCCUCCAGCUGAAGGGGUUGAGCGGAGCGCUCGAGCCGGGGUGUGUGGUCUGACCAACGCUGGGAGGGAGGCGGGGGCAGCUCCAUUGACCGCCUUGUAGGACAGAACCGUCGUCUGGAAUCUGAUGUGAGCGACUACAGGGAGCCAGUGGAGGUCGAGGAAAAGGUGCUAUUUAUUGGUCUUUUUUUGCAUUGUGUUAUGUUUCUUUUUAAUUAACUUUAUUUUACUCCCCGCAAUGUUAUGUAAAAUGCUGUACAUAGAAAGAUAAAAACAUGAGAUUGUUUAAUUAACUCCACUUACGUUGUGUGGGGUUGGCAUGACGAUGUGCCAUCCAAAAUAAUGUUCUAUAUUCCCAUUGUCUUUAGUCAGGUCAAGAUGCAUACGCACUAUGUUCAACCUCAUACUCAAAAUGACCUUUAAGAGUCAGGAACCAGCUGAUUCGUCAGGCUGGGUUGACGUCAGGUUCUGUCAGGGUCAGACGUCCCCUCGGUGUCACGAAUGCUACAUCCUGGGCUUUGGGACGCAACCUCGAUGAUUUAGGCAAGUCGUGCAGUGACAUCUGCUGGCGAAAUAUGUAACUGCACCCCUGGUUUCACUUUUGAUUUGACGCAGUUUUCAUUUGCUUGAUUUUGUUUGUCAGCUACUCUCAAAAAUCGGAAUUUAGAUCCAUAUCUAAAGGAUAUACAUGUUACAAUAUAACGCAGUAACACUUCUGGAACCGAGAUUAGUAGACGGCAGACAUAGGCCUGCCGCCUAUCACAAGUCAAGUGCUGUCCCGGCUUUUGCGCUUUCAAGAAACCAAUAUAAAUCAUUGAAAUAACUUCAUGGUCAAUGGCCCCGAUUUUUACCAACAGGUGUGAGUGUGAUUAACCAUUACAUGCAGUUUCAAAAUGCGACCCUCCGCUGUGACAAGGAAGGUCAUCCAGCAAGUGAAGUAUGUUUAGGUCAUGAAGUGGACGGAGCUUGGACGGCAGCGCAAAAAGAAGGCGGAGUCAAACAGUAGCUCCUCUCAAUAAAUACAUAUUUUCUGAAAUGACACAAUACUCUAAGGCUAUUUGUUAACUUGUCCAUGACCAUAUAGGCCUAACCAAGCGUAAGAUAAUUUUCCCCACAAUCCGAUUAUUUUUCAGUGUAUGGUAAAUUACGAUACUUUACCCCCAACCGUGCAAGUGAGAGAUGAAAAGUUACUUCGUUCUCGAUUGAAAUGUCACAGAAUUUCCAGAAAUCAAGUCAAACUGCAUAUCAUCAUGUGGCCCGAUAUUUUCUAUUUAGUUGUGUUUAGUUUAAUUGGCCAUCAUGCUUUUGCAUCAGCAAAUUGUCCCCUAGAUGAAUACAGAGUGGGAAUCGAAUGUUGCCCUUCAUGCCCGCCUGGAUGGCUUGUUGAAAAGGACUGCGCAGAGAGAAGCAUGACAAAGUGCUCAAGGUGCCCCGGUGGUACUUUCCAAGCAGGCCGUAAUAAACUGAAACAAUGCUCUACCUGUACAAAGUGUGACGCAGGUCUCGGUCUGAAGGUGAAGAAGUCGUGUUCAUCAACAUCAGAUGCUGUGUGUGAGGUCCUGGAUGGAUUCUUCUGUAGUGACUCUAACAGAGGUGGAUGUAGGGUCGCUCAGAGACACACGGUUUGCAGUCCUGGUCAAUACAUCGGUCAAAGAGGAACAGCAGAUAAAGACACAGAGUGCCUUCACUGUACUGAUGGAACAUUCUCAAAUGGCACAUCAACGUCUUGUCAGAAUAGUAAGUUAGUGAAAUGUGAAUCUGUGGGACUGAAACUGAUGAAACCAGGAACUGAUUCAACUGAUUCUGAGUGUGGAGAACAUGGUCCACACAGAGGACUAGAGAGAAGACAUGUGACAGGAAUAAUAUCAGGAGUCAUACUGGUAAUGGCUAUAAUGGCAUUAAUCAUAGCCAUUAUUCACAGGAAGAAUAAAAGAGAAACGACACCACUAAUGUCCACUGACGGUCCUGAACCAACCAGGGACCAACAAGAAUGUACCAUAACUAUCCCUGAAACUAUAGAUGAUCAUCAUGGUGACCAGAGACUGGAUCCAGCUCCACCCUCAAGCCCCACAGAUAAUGGAUCUGUCUCACUCCCAGUCCACCCUCCUCAGUCUGGUCCCCCCCCCCACCUCCUGGUCCAGCCUCCUCAGUCUGGUCCCAAAGACAAGCGAGGGGUUAAUAACUAGAGGUGUGAGGUGUGCUCUGUGAGGCGUCCUGGGGUAUGAUGGUAACGUCUGCUUGUGUCCACGCUCCCCCUUUCUUGGUCGACCACCGAGCUUUCUCCAGCCCCCUGAGUGUCUCUUCCUUCGUCGGCCUCCUGAACGGCUCCUCCUUCCUCUCCGGGCUCCAGGGCGGACCCGGACAGCAUUCUGCUCCCCGGGUCAGCCUCCAGAGCGGCUCUGCACGUCCGUUGGUCUGAAGCACCCAGCGCCCGGGCGUUAUGUGUCUUGAUUUAAAUGUAUUUUACUCCUUGCAAUGUUAUGUAUAUAAAAUAUUAAACAUAGAAGAUUGAGACAGAUAUACUUCCACAGUUUUUAACCUACUGCUGAAAACCAGGAAGCGCGCUGUUUAGGUUGCAGUGGCUGAAGACACCCAAGACGAAUAUUGGUGCAUCGGGCUUAUUUUGUAAUUGCUGGUUCACACAGUCCGUGUACACCUGCAAAAGGUGUAAAAAAAAAAAAUACAUGUAGAAUGGCGUUACCCUGUCUUGUACAUUUGGUUGUUCAUUGUAUAGUCAGAGAGAGGGAUAUUGUUUGGUUCUUUGGCAGACAUUGGUGUGAGCACUCGUUCACUGCACACGUUGUCGGUCUUGCUGUCCAUGUAUCAGAAGUUCAGGCUUCACAUUUACAAGUCCUACAUCGUAUUUGAUUAAGUUAUAUUUAUUUUGUAUGUAUUUGCCAUAAAUGUAUUGGCCGCCAAACAGAUAGGUGGCAGCAAGGCGCCCGAUGGCGUUGCAGUUUCCUUUUAUAUUUACAAGAAGAGAAGACGGACCAAUGAUGACUGCGGGUGCGGAAGCACCAAAUUCGAAAGGGUUGGCGCAUGGGAUAUUUUCAAGUUUAUGUUCUUCAAGUUGAGAUAUUUCAGAACGAACAUGCAUGGCAAUGAUGUGGCAGCCAAAAUAUAAAGUGUUGGACAUAUAACUUUUAAAGAAAAGCAUGUGAAAACAAUAAACCUUAUUCUACAAUAAAUUAAUUGCAGCCACAUAACUUUGCUUCCCUCAAAAUAACUUUUUGAUGGUUUAGGUU
This is an RNA transcript of Gadus macrocephalus (Pacific cod), 6349 nucleotides long. It is a transcript of the gene named tumor necrosis factor receptor superfamily member 16-like, with no coding region annotated. Lineage: Eukaryota; Metazoa; Chordata; Actinopteri; Gadiformes; Gadidae. The record is from RefSeq and is a predicted model, not a curated record. The transcript is spliced from 18 exons.